UCGCCAGCGGGAGGCUAUGACACGCGGCCCAUACUCUGGCCGCCCGGACCGCGCCGAGCCACUGGCGAGACCGACCCGUUGGAUC
Molecule: non-coding RNA, 85 nt
Filed under: unclassified sequences
Description: c-di-GMP sequence
Rfam family: c-di-GMP-II-GAG riboswitch aptamer
Source: Rfam by way of RNAcentral